RNAcentral lists this ribosomal RNA (253 nucleotides) under uncultured bacterium. RNAcentral describes it as "partial 16S ribosomal RNA". It matches the Rfam family "Bacterial small subunit ribosomal RNA", at positions 524 to 776 of the family's 1533-position model. The record is from RNAcentral.
UACGAAGGGGGCUAGCGUUGCUCGGAAUUACUGGGCGUAAAGCGCACGUAGGCGGCUUUGUAAGUUAGAGGUGAAAGCCCGGAGCUCAACUCCGGAAUAGCCUUUAAGACUGCAUCGCUAGAACGUUGGAGAGGUGAGUGGAAUUCCGAGUGUAGAGGUGAAAUUCGUAGAUAUUCGGAAGAACACCAGUGGCGAAGGCGACUCACUGGACAACUGUUGACGCUGAGGUGCGAAAGCGUGGGGAGCAAACAGG